RNAcentral lists this ribosomal RNA (1251 nucleotides) under Micrococcus sp. IGCAR-4/2013. RNAcentral's name for it is "bacterial SSU rRNA". It matches the Rfam family "Bacterial small subunit ribosomal RNA", at positions 135 to 1397 of the family's 1533-position model. Lineage: Bacteria; Bacillati; Actinomycetota; Actinomycetes; Micrococcales; Micrococcaceae. The record is from RNAcentral.
ACUCUGGGAUAUUGCUGGGAAACUGGGUCUAAUACCGGAUAGGAGCGCCUACCGCAUGGUGGGUGUUGGAAAGAUUUAUCGGUUUUGGAUGGACUCGCGGCCUAUCAGCUUGUUGGUGAGGUAAUGGCUCACCAAGGCGACGACGGGUAGCCGGCCUGAGAGGGUGACCGGCCACACUGGGACUGAGACACGGCCCAGACUCCUACGGGAGGCAGCAGUGGGCCGUAUUGCACAAUGGGCGCAAGCCUGAUGCAGCGACGCCGCGUGAGGGAUGACGGCCUUCGGGUUGUAAACCUCUUUCAGUAGGGAAGAAGCGAAAGUGACGGUACCUGCAGAAGAAGCACCGGCUAACUACGUGCCAGCAGCCGCGGUAAUACGUAGGGUGCGAGCGUUAUCCGGAAUUAUUGGGCGUAAAGAGCUCGUAGGCGGUUUGUCACGUCUGUCGUGAAAGUCCGGGGCUUAACCCCGGAUCUGCGGUGGGUACGGGCAGACUAGAGUGCAGUAGGGGAGACUGGAAUUCCUGGUGUAGCGGUGGAAUGCGCAGAUAUCAGGAGGAACACCGAUGGCGAAGGCAGGUCUCUGGGCUGUAACUGACGCUGAGGAGCGAAAGCAUGGGGAGCGAACAGGAUUAGAUACCCUGGUAGUCCAUGCCGUAAACGUUGGGCACUAGGUGUGGGGACCAUUCCACGGUUUCCGCGCCGCAGCUAACGCAUUAAGUGCCCCGCCUGGGGAGUACGGCCGCAAGGCUAAAACUCAAAGGAAUUGACGGGGGCCCGCACAAGCGGCGGAGCAUGCGGAUUAAUUCGAUGCAACGCGAAGAACCUUACCAAGGCUUGACAUGUUCUCGAUCGCCGUAGAUAGUCUUGAUCCCCUUUGGGGCGGGUUCACAGGUGGUGCAUGGUUGUCGUCAGCUCGUGUCGUGAGAUGUUGGGUUAAGUCCCGCAACGAGCGCAACCCUCGUUCCAUGUUGCCAGCACGUAGUGGUGGGGACUCAUGGGAGACUGCCGGGGUCAACUCGGAGGAAGGUGAGGACGACGUCAAAUCAUCAUGCCCCUUAUGUCUUGGGCUUCACUUGAGCUACAAUGGCCGGUACAAUGGGUUGCGAUACUGUGAGGUGGAGCUAAUCCCAAAAAGCCGGUCUCAGUUCGGAUUGGGGUCUGCAACUCGACCCCAUGAAGUCGGAGUCGCUAGUAAUCGCAGAUCAGCAACGCUGCGGUGAAUACGUUCCCGGAUGCUGUACACAUCGACCCG